Molecule: non-coding RNA, 118 nt
Filed under: bovine gut metagenome
Description: FMN riboswitch (RFN element)
Rfam family: FMN riboswitch aptamer (RFN element)
About the family: The RFN element is a highly conserved domain that is found frequently in the 5'-untranslated regions of prokaryotic mRNAs that encode for flavin mononucleotide (FMN) biosynthesis and transport proteins. This element is a metabolite-dependent riboswitch that directly binds FMN in the absence of proteins.
Source: RNAcentral
UUCUUCGGGGCGGGGUGAGAUUCCCCACCGGCGGUAAAGUCCGCGAGCUGCAUUGCAGUUGAUCCGGGUAGCCUAUGGCGUUUCCGGAACCGACAGUAUAGUCUGGAUGAGAGAAGAA